This 541-nucleotide ribosomal RNA is filed under the name uncultured bacterium. RNAcentral describes it as "bacterial SSU rRNA". It matches the Rfam family "Bacterial small subunit ribosomal RNA", at positions 353 to 896 of the family's 1533-position model. The record is from RNAcentral.
AGUGAGGAAUAUUGGACAAUGGGCGCAAGCCUGAUCCAGCCAUGCCGCGUGCAGGAAGAAGCAUCUAUGGUGUGUAAACUGCUUUUGUACGGGAAGAAACACUCCUACGUGUAGGAGCUUGACGGUACCGUAAGAAUAAGGAUCGGCUAACUCCGUGCCAGCAGCCGCGGUAAUACGGAGGAUCCAAGCGUUAUCCGGAAUCACUGGGUUUAAAGGGUCCGUAGGCGGUUUAAUAAGUCAGUGGUGAAAGCCCAUCGCUCAACGAUGGAACGGCCAUUGAUACUGUUAGACUUGAAUUACAAGGAAGUAACUAGAAUAUGUAGUGUAGCGGUGAAAUGCUUAGAUAUUACAUGGAAUACCAAUUGCGAAGGCAGGUUACUACUUGUGGAUUGACGCUGAUGGACGAAAGCGUGGGGAGCGAACAGGAUUAGAUACCCUGGUAGUCCACGCCGUAAACGAUGGAUACUAGCUGUUGGGCGCAAGUUCAGUGGCUAAGCGAAAGUGAUAAGUAUCCCACCUGGGGAGUACGUUCGCAAGAAUG